AUUUUUGAGCUUGAAGGAUUCAUUUGUCCACAAACGCUUGCCAAAUCUGGAGAUAUGUAAAACAGAAGCUCUUCUACUCCACAUAGCACAUUCAGGAUAUCGACAACAUAUUGCGGAGUUGUAGCCUCAGUGGGUCUAAUCUCGGGUUCCCAAUAUACCCAAAGAAUCAUUUACGAUAAUGGCCAAAAUUCUUUGAGCAAGCUGUGGAGGCAUAAUGGACCUAGACCAGAGUCGUUGACAAUAAAAUUGUCACAAAAAUACAUCCACAUGGGCACAACAGGACUUCCUCGUUCACCUUUUUUUACCGUAAUACAUAAUAAAGAUUAUGACCCGUAAAUGAUUAUAAACUAAUGAUCACCUUCAUAAUACGGUCGAUGGCUCGAGAAACACUGAGAU
Long non-coding RNA from Folsomia candida, 396 nucleotides. RefSeq lists it as uncharacterized. The record is from RefSeq and is a predicted model, not a curated record. NCBI's taxonomy places the organism in Eukaryota, Metazoa, Arthropoda, Collembola, Entomobryomorpha, Isotomidae. The transcript has 3 exons.